UGCCAUCUCUUAGCCAUCCGAUUGUGGCUUCUCCCAAGGGGGAGCCCUCAGGCUGUGAAAAGGACAGGAUACUGGCCCCAGGUAGUUGAGGUGUAUAUCAAGGAAAAGAUUUCAGUGAGCCCAGAAUUUAUAUCUUCCCGCACAGAGAAAAGCACCAAAUUCCUUGACUGGAGACAUCCGGUUUUCUUUUGUUAACAGUUAUCUUUUGUUCCUAUUACAUGCCCUUUGUUACAAAACUCCUAUAUAUCCUAGCUCAUCCUUUGCCUCCUCAAAGCAGUUUCUCAGGGUUAUUUGAAAUGUUGCCUCUUGGGCUAUGGUCCUCAUUUGGUCCAAAAAACUAAUAAAACAAAAACUAUGUUGUGCAUUUUUAAAAGUUGACACUGUGAUCCAGAUUAUAUUGAUCAAACUUCAUAUCACAAACUCCCCACAGCUUUCAGGGAAAGGUUUUUAGGACAAGGGGUAAGGACAAGUUAGUGGACCUGGAUCUUCUGUGCAAAAGCCAGGCUGUCCCUUCACUUCCAAGUCUUAACGGGAAUGUUAGCUAAGGACUACACAGAGAAGGAAGUUCUGAAACAAUUCAGUUCAGCUGAACUAAGUUGAUAGAGUAUAAACUAUGUCAGAACUUGUGGGUGUGGCUCUAAAAACUUCUGGGGGUAUGAAAAGAGGGGCUGGGUCCAUGCCACCUGGUAGUUAGAGCCGAGGUCUUUCCUGAAGCCCUGGAGCUCAGCAGAAGGUUGUCAAGGCCAACUUGAGAUUUCAUAUUGUGUUCUCGAAUCGAUUGGUUACCUGCUUGCACUUAUAAAUAUAUCCAUUUUCUACUUCAAAAAAAAAAAAAAGGCAAGAAAACUUCAUAUUAUAUACUCACUUCUUUUUCUGUUAAGUGCUUAGAGAAAGACAGUAAACGCUUACUACUCUGGGAGUUCCCACUGUGGUGCAGUGGGUUAAAUAUCUGGUAUUGUCUCUGAAGGCAGCUCGGGUUUGAUCCUGGCCUGGCACAAUGGGUUAAGGAUCCAGUGUUUCUUCAGCGUAGGGCAUAGGUUGCAACAAUGACUUGGACAGAUUUGAUCUCUAGCCUGGGAACUUCCAUAUGCCCGGGGUGUGGCUGAAAUAGUAAAAACAAAACAAAACUCAAAAAACUUGCUGCUCUGUUGCUGCGCUUAUAAGAAUCGUUUUGUCUUUAUCCCUAUUCCUGUAACCAAGCUAGUGCCCUGUGGGGCUCCUAGGCACACAAGCCUUUCUCUGUCCUCCUUUUCUUGUUUUUAGGGAAUAAGCCUCAGCUUCCAUGACCUUCCCUGAGUUCCAAAGUGCCGUUGCUAAUCAGAUGCAGAGACCAGGGAGGAGCUGUGCGGUCUUGGGGCAGGGUCCUGGUUCUUCCUCAAGGAAUAUACAUAACGAUAUCUUUGAGCCUUUCUGUGGGGCUAAAACCCCCAAGAAAUGGAAGAAUUCCUUGAUGAAGCAUUCUUCAUUCCUGGAAGAAGGAGCACCACCAGAGCCAAUCCUGGGGCUGCUAAACACCAGCUUUGAAAGACAAUGCAAGCCUGCCUCUACCCUGAGCCUUAUCUAUGGCUCUCCUCCUUAUUCCACUCCCCAAAGUAUAAAACCACUUCCUAACUCCUUAGAAAGGGGACACAGUCUUUAAAGCAUUGUGGCCCCUUUUGCCUGGCAAAGCAGUAAAGCUAUCACUUUCUCCUUUACCCCAAACUCUGUCUCUGUGUUUAUAUUUGGCACUGGCAAGCAGAGGCCAAAUUUCAGUAACAUGCCUGGCACAGAGCUCCUAAAACUCUUGGAAUUUUCUGAUUGGUUGGGGAGUAUUUUGUUACCCUGAAUUUAAGCUAAUGAGGAUACUUAAGAUGGGGACCCUAAGUAGCCUCAUGAUGGGGCUGGUCAUUAGAAAGACCCAGUGACUAGAGGAUUGAAGCUUUCAGCCCUGUCCACUGAUCUCUGGGGAGGGUGGGUGAGAGAUGGUAUUAAUGCUUAAAUACUAUAAAAACUUCUGAACAAGGAUAUUUGGGGGAGUUUCCAGGUUGGUGCCAGGAGGGUUGAGCCAGGAGAGGGCAUGGAAACUAUGCCUCCCCAUCCCCCACACUUUGCUCUAUGAAUUUCUUCCAUCUAGUUCUUCCAGAGAUGUAUCCUUUAUAAUAAACUAGUCAUAGGAAGUACAGCAGUUACAUAGUACUAUAUGCAAUAUUUGGAAGGACAAACAAAAUAAUUUUAUUUCUGGAAUUUACAGUUUCUAUGGUUUUUCUAGUUUUUAAAAUCUAUUUUUUAUUUUUCUAUAUUAAAUAUUUUUAUGGAUAUUAUUUUAGAUAAGAAGUCUCUCUUUUCAUUGCAUUGCAUAUACCAUGUAUGAACAAAUAAUUAAAACAAUUUUCCAAUUGAUCACUGGAAUCAUUUUUUUUUAAACGUUUGGACAGAUUUUGUUGCUAUUAUUUCAUCUUUUUCUCUAAGGAAAUUAUCCUCAUUGUUGCUUGGUCUAGGAUUUUUUUUUUUUGUAAAGUAAAUUACAUUUUAAAUUCAAUNGAGAGUUUUGAAUGAGGUCCUCCAAGGAUGUUUUAACUCAGUUUUCUUCUUGCCUGUUACAGUUGAAGGAAAUAAACUCUUUGACCAGAGAAAAUGAGAAUGUCUGCUUUUGCAGAGGCGUAAAGGCUUUUGAAUUCCUCCUUGCUCUUUGGACUUUAUCUUCUUUCAGUUACUCAGAGUGCACAGAAGUAUGUCUUAAUUUUAAAGUAGGAUCAUAUUUCUUAUAAGUUUAGAGAUACACAUAUAUAUAAAUACAUAGUGACCACUGGUUUCUGGGGGCAGGGGACUAGGAGUGCAGUUCGAUAAUCAUACUGGUCCUUUUUUGUUAAUCUGUGAAGCUCACUAAGGUCAUCUGGGGUAGAGUUUUCUGGUGAAACAGUGAAGAAUGUCCAAGGUCAGUCAUGGGAUGUUUUCUAGCAGGCACAUUCGCACAGGUAAUUUAUACAGCAUGUGUUUGUGAUUAUGUUUCCUUCUAGUAAAAAAAAAAAAAAAAA
Molecule: long non-coding RNA, 3014 nt
Filed under: Sus scrofa (pig)
Lineage: Eukaryota; Metazoa; Chordata; Mammalia; Artiodactyla; Suidae
Description: lncRNA (ENSSSCG00035027030.1)
Source: RNAcentral